AGCUAUAGCGAAGGGGUAACACUUGUUCCCAUCCCGAACACAAAAGUUAAGCCCUUCAGUCCGAUGGUACUAUGCUGGUAACGGUGUGGGAGAGUAGGUCACU
This 103-nucleotide ribosomal RNA is filed under the name Clostridia bacterium. Lineage: Bacteria; Bacillati; Bacillota; Clostridia. The record is from RNAcentral.